RNAcentral lists this ribosomal RNA (1291 nucleotides) under Bacillus cereus. RNAcentral's name for it is "partial 16S ribosomal RNA". It matches the Rfam family "Bacterial small subunit ribosomal RNA", at positions 185 to 1477 of the family's 1533-position model. Lineage: Bacteria; Bacillati; Bacillota; Bacilli; Caryophanales; Bacillaceae. The record is from RNAcentral.
CUCUCUUGUGGGAAAUAGACAGGGCUUUGCUUGCCUUUCGAUGAAGCCAUUGCGAUAGAUUUGGAGGAUACGGCUUCACACAAGGACAAGAGUGCGUACGUCUUGAGAGGGUGAUUCGCUCAAUGGGACUGAGACCCGGGUCCAGAUCUCUACGGAGGGCAGCAGUGGGAUUUUCGCAAUGACGAAGUCUGACGCCGCACCGCGCUGAGGUGUAUGGAAGGCUUUCGGUCGUAAAGUCUUUAUGUGGGAAGAACAAGCAGCUAGUUGAUACGCUGCACUUUGACGGUACUUAACCAGUAAGCACACGGCUACUAUGUGCCAGCAGCCGCGGUAAUACAGUAGGUGGCAAGCGUUAAUCCGGAAUUAUUGGGCGUAAAGCGCGCGCAGGUGGUUUGUUAAGUAUGAUGUGAAAGCCCACGGCUCAACCUGUGGAGGGUCAUCUGGAAACUGGCAAGACUUGAGUGCAGUAGAGGGAGAGUGGAAUUUCAUGUGUAGCGGUGAAAUGCGUAGAGAUAUGAAGGAACACCAGUGGCGAAGGCGACUUCCUGGUCUGUUACUGACACUGAGGCGCGAAAGCGUGGGGAGCAAACAGGAUUAGAUACCCUGGUAGUCCACGCCGUAAACGAUGAGAGCUAAGUGUUAGAGUCUUUCCGCCCUUUAGUGCGGAAGUUAAGCCAUUAAGCAAUCCCCUGGGGGAGUACGCCCCCAAGGUAGAAAUUCAAAGAAAUGGAGGGGGGCCCGCCCAAGCGGUGGGCCAUGGGGUUUAAUUGGAAGCAACGGGAAGACCCUUCCCAGCUUUUGCCAUCCUAGAAAAACCCAAAGAAUAGGGGUUGUCUUUGGGGAGUAGACACCAGGUGGUGCAUGGUGUUGUUCAGUUCGUUUCUGGAGAUGUUGGUUUAAGUCCCGCAACAGCGCAACCCUGUCUUUUAGUUGCCAUCAUUAAGUUGGGCCAUUUUAGGAGACGCCCGGUGACAAACCGAGGAAAGGUGGGGAUGACGUCAAGUCAUCAUCCCCUUAUGACCUGGGGUACACACGUGUACAAUGACGGUACAGAAGGUGCACAAGCGCGAGGUGGAGCUAAUCUCUAAAUCCCUUUUCAGGUCCGGAUGUCGGUUGCAAAUUGCAUACCGGGAGGUGGGAUUCGUUGGUAUUCGGGAUUCACAAGGCGCGGGGAAAAACUUUCCCGGCCUUGGACCACCCCCCCGUUCCCCCCAGAGGAGUUGGGAACACCCAGAAGUUAGGUAGGGUAACCUCUUGGGAGGCACGGUACUUUAAAGGUGUAUACAAACUC